Molecule: long non-coding RNA, 734 nt
Organism: Nicotiana tabacum (common tobacco)
Lineage: Eukaryota; Viridiplantae; Streptophyta; Magnoliopsida; Solanales; Solanaceae
Source: RefSeq, a predicted model, not a curated record
AGAAGAAGAACGCUGAGGGAAAGCUAAAAAGCUACGCAGCUUUUGAAAGAGACCCCCACCCCUUCGGAUCGUCUUCUCCAAACGACCCUAGCUCUCUUCUACUAGAACAAAAACGAUCCCUCUCGUUCUACUUCCUUUUCAGGUUCUAAACACAUAAAACCCAUCAGCCAUCGAUCCCAAACACCCAUCAAAACCAAACCUAACGCCUAAGAUGAUUUUCUGCACCGAUUGAAGUUCCGUCCGUUCGAGGUUGCGAAUCCAGUCCGAGUUCGAAAUUUCAUUGUUUGGAACUUCAUUAUGACUGUGUAAUUGCCGAAUUUCAGUUGAAUGAAGCUUUAAUUUUAGAUGCUCUGAAUUGCCGAUUCAUUUGCUCGGCCAGUCGAUUGUUAACCUUGCAAGAUCGAACUCCAAGCAUCUCAGAUUCGACGUGAGUUGAGGCUGAGGCGAGAGGCAAAGGCAUCGUAGGCUAUAGUUUGGACCGGAUAAAGAUUCAGGAGUCUUGGGUCACGCUAGCGAUUGUUGAUUUGUUCUCCAGCAAGCUAUUUGAAGUUGACUAGGUAACUGCCAGGUAUUCGCAACCCAGUACUUCUCCUUCCUAUCUUUUUUUUCCUGUUGAUCUGGCUUGUAAUAGACUAUGUAGUCUUUUCAUACACUUAGAUAAAUUUUAGAUGCUCAUGACUGGUGACUCCCGGAUGUCGGGCUGUGUUUGUUUCCGUAUUGUUCUAAUCUAUUUU